RNAcentral lists this ribosomal RNA (426 nucleotides) under uncultured prokaryote. RNAcentral describes it as "bacterial SSU rRNA". It matches the Rfam family "Bacterial small subunit ribosomal RNA", at positions 355 to 774 of the family's 1533-position model. The record is from RNAcentral.
UGGGGAAUCUUGCGCAAUGGGCGAAAGCCUGACGCAGCAACGCCGCGUGAGCGAAGACGGCCUUCGGGUUGUAAAGCUCUGUCAGGAGGGACGAAGCCACUCCGGUGAAUAGCCGAGAGGGUGACGGUACCUCCAGAGGAAGCCCCGGCUAACUACGUGCCAGCAGCCGCGGUAAUACGUAGGGGGCAAGCGUUGUCCGGAAUCAUUGGGCGUAAAGCGCGUGUAGGCGGCCAUCCAAGUCCGAUGUGAAAGCUCGGGGCUCAACCCCGAGUCUGCAUUGGAAACUGUAUGGCUUGAGUCCGGAAGAGGAGACUGGAAUUCCAGGUGUAGCGGUGAAAUGCGCAGAUAUCUGGAAGAACACCGGUGGCGAAGGCGGGUCUCUGGGACGGUACUGACGCUGAGACGCGAAAGCGUGGGGAGCAAACA